CUGGGCGCAAUGCAAAUAAUUUGAGCAAGAACUUUAAUUGAAAAUUUACGAAUCUUAAUUACAAGGUGCCAAAUUCUAAUUCUUUUGAAUUUGAAUUUUGCAUAGUCCCUCCCAAGCGUGGCCAAGCUAUUUAAUAUAAUUUAUCCGCAUCAUAAUUAGCUUUGAUCUUUCUCUCUGUCCCCAUUUGAUUGAUAUUGUUUUCAGGAGUCAAUAUUUAAUCUAAAAAAUAAAUAAUUGAAACAUUAUUAGCAUUACUGCAUGUGAGUUAUAUUAAUUGACGAUAUUUUGUACACUGAUUUUUUCGCUACAAAUCAUAUGAAAGCACAACUGUCUUUGUGAACUUAGUUCAGUUGGUUGGACAAUACAUCAAAUAUGUAAAGUUUGAGGUUCAAAUUCUGACCACUACCUAAAAAAUAUGAAAACACAGCAGGCAAUGGGAGAAAA
RNAcentral lists this long non-coding RNA (444 nucleotides) under Medicago truncatula (barrel medic). RNAcentral's name for it is "lncRNA gene46392". Lineage: Eukaryota; Viridiplantae; Streptophyta; Magnoliopsida; Fabales; Fabaceae. The record is from RNAcentral.